GCCAUCUUAGCUCAGGGGUAGAGCGCAUCCAUGGUAAGGAUGAGGUCGUGGGUUCAAAUCCCACAGAUGGCUCCA
This 75-nucleotide transfer RNA is filed under the name Patescibacteria group bacterium. RNAcentral describes it as "tRNA-Thr". It matches the Rfam family "tRNA". Rfam says of the family: Transfer RNA (tRNA) molecules are approximately 80 nucleotides in length. Their secondary structure includes four short double-helical elements and three loops (D, anti-codon, and T loops). The record is from RNAcentral.